This 773-nucleotide long non-coding RNA is filed under the name Aotus nancymaae (Ma's night monkey). RNAcentral's name for it is "lncRNA (ENSANAG00000038611.1)". The record is from RNAcentral. Lineage: Eukaryota; Metazoa; Chordata; Mammalia; Primates; Aotidae.
GAAAAGGGAUGGUGAUGCUUACAGGACAGAGGCAACUGCAAAUAUCAGACUGCCUGGCUCCAGUGCCUGCUGCAGGACAGCUCUGUGAGCCUGGUCCAGGAAAGCUUCCUGGUGGAGGAGAAUUUCUGUCUUGCCUACAUCAAGAGAGAAUGAAGAGAAUGGAUAGAAGAAAGAAUGGAGAGAAGAGGACCAGCAUCUCCAAGGUGGAGGAACAGUUACCUUCUACCCAUCAGUAUGGCUGCACAGCAGAGCCGGAGGCUUCCCCAUGAGACACUGAGUCUAAUACACCUGCUCACUCCCAGAAGUUCAAGGGAGUUCUGAGGGAAGGAUGGAUGGACCCUCUCAGAGCUCCAAUUCCCCGCUCCUUCCUGAUACUUCUGCCACCCGACCCCAUGUUCAUUUCUCAAGGAGGGCAGCACCGUGGGUGUGUUGGUCAGGACACUUCUUUAUUAGUAGGCUGCCCUUUGCAACACAAACCAUUUAGCAUCCUACAUGGUUAGCAUUCAAGACCCUUCAUCUUGACCCUGGUUCUAAAUGCUAGUGGCAUUGCCCAGUCACUGUGACAUUCAAAACACCCCCACACAUUCCCAGCAUUGCCCACUCUUUACCCCUUUGAGAACUAUUUUGAGAGAUUGUCCAGGCAAGACUUGCAAAGAGAAUGGCCUCAAACCUGUUUAGCCAACAUUAUCCCACACCCCCCGCCCCCACCACCACAUGCAGGUAACAGAAAGUGAGGACUUUAGAAAGUGAAAAUCUCUGAGGAUACAUUUGGG